This is a long non-coding RNA of Saccostrea cuccullata (small rock oyster), 1165 nucleotides long. RefSeq lists it as uncharacterized. The record is from RefSeq and is a predicted model, not a curated record. The transcript has 3 exons. Lineage: Eukaryota; Metazoa; Mollusca; Bivalvia; Ostreida; Ostreidae.
CAAGGUCAUUGACCUUGGUGUCAGUUGAAAGUGCCUAAUUAGUGGAGUAUGCAUACCAAAUAUGAAGUCUCUAUCUCUCACGGUUCAGAAGUUAUGGCGAAAGUUCGAAAAAGCUAUUUUUAGCAUAAAGGUCACAAUCAAGGUCAUAAGGUCAUUGACCUUGGUGUCAGUUGAAAGUGUUUUUGUAGUGGAGUAUCCAUACCAAAUAUGAAGUCUCUAAGUCUCACGGUUCAAAAGUUAUGGCGAAGGUUAAAGUUGACAACAGACAAACAAACAGACAGACAUACAGCUAAACAGACAGACAGGACAAAAACAAUAUGCGCCCCGAAAAAAUUUGGGUGCAUAAAAACUGUCUUGGAGUUAACAGCAGUUCUCUGUUUCUCCUGAAUGUUAUGUACAAUUUGAUCGGGAUCGGAAGAAUGUUUCAAAAAGUCGGGCUCAGUGAUCAAUUAAUUUAAACAACAGACCGCCAAAAUUUAACCUUGGCCUCCAUGUUGCAACGUCUGCUCUGUCUAAAGGAAGAAGUUUGUUGACCAGACAGCCUGAGAUCGUAUUGCUGUAUCAACCAAAAGAUGCAGAUACACGUAUUUCAUAUGCGCGUCUGUGCAUGAGGAGGAGAUUUCUGAAAAAGAAUAUAAGUGCUUAUUCAACUUACGGCGAUUUUAACGGGCUUAAAGCUUGGUCCAUGGAUGGUUAUGUUUGAGGAUUUGCCAAUUCGACCGCAAGUGCUGCUGCAAGAAAUUAAACAUGCAGAGACCUUACAAAUUACAAAGAAGUCUGAAGAAAAUUUUUAUUGGACAGAUGGGUGUAAAGCACAGACCUGAGAUAUAAAUUGAAUUGUGAAAAAUAUGAAUCAGGGAUGCAGGUAGAAAAUGGCAAAUGUGAUCCAGAUUGAUAAAAAAUGUCUAAAAUUUUUUCUUGUUUUGUAAAUAUUCAAUGCUAUGUCAAUUGUUAUUUUUUCCCCAAUACCUUAUAGUGUUGAACAUUUCACUCCCACUUUUGCUUAAAUAGAAUGAAUAAAUUUCCAUUUAUUUAAUAUGAAUAUUAAAAAAUGCCACAUUUUUUCCAUGAUGAACUUGUGGCUUAAAUAAGAGUUCCAGUUUUUUUUCCAUACAUGCUCCUAUUUGUUUGUCAAAGAUAUAAGAUCCAAUACAUUGCUCAUGAA